This 253-nucleotide unclassified non-coding RNA is filed under the name uncultured Bacteroidia bacterium. Its description in RNAcentral is "contains 16S-23S intergenic spacer region". It matches the Rfam family "Bacterial small subunit ribosomal RNA", at positions 524 to 776 of the family's 1533-position model. The record is from RNAcentral. Lineage: Bacteria; Pseudomonadati; Bacteroidota; Bacteroidia.
UACGUAGGUGGCAAGCGUUAUCCGGAUUUAUUGGGUUUAAAGGGUGCGUAGGCGGAACAAUAAGUCAGUGGUGAAAUCCCAUAGCUUAACUAUGGAACUGCCAUUGAUACUGUUGUUCUCGAGUAUAGUUGAAGUGGACGGAAUGUAACAUGUAGCGGUGAAAUGCUUAGAUAUGUUACAGAACACCAAUUGCGAAGGCAGUUCACUAAACUAUUACUGACGCUGAGGCACGAAAGCGUGGGGAGCGAACAGG